Molecule: ribosomal RNA, 253 nt
Filed under: uncultured bacterium
Lineage: Bacteria
Description: partial 16S ribosomal RNA
Rfam family: Bacterial small subunit ribosomal RNA
Source: RNAcentral
UGCGUAGGUGGCAAGCGUUAUCCGGAUUUAUUGGGCGUAAAGCGAACGCAGGCGGUCUUUUAAGUCUGAUGUGAAAGCCUUCGGCUUAACCGGAGUAGUGCAUUGGAAACUGGGAGACUUGAGUGCAGAAGAGGAGAGUGGAACUCCAUGUGUAGCGGUGAAAUGCGUAGAUAUAUGGAAGAACACCAGUGGCGAAAGCGGCUCUCUGGUCUGUAACUGACGCUGAGGUUCGAAAGCGUGGGUAGCAAACAGG